GAUAGUCUAAUACAUCUUUAUUAAUCUCCAAAUAUGUAUUUUUGGUCAAUAACAUUAUUUUAAUAACCAUUAAAGAUAAUCUAGUAUUAAAUGGUUAAUUUUGCUUCCCUUAGAUAAAGAUAACAGAAUUCAAAUACGAACUUGCCCCGUCUGGUUGAAGUGUAGUGAGAGCUGACUGUGUGAACUAAAUAAUGCUUGUCCUGUACAGAAUGGAGAAGAAAAGCAAAGUUUUGUUCACCUGGGAGCCCAUUUUUUAAAAAAUGCAUUGAUACCUAACUUAAAUAAUUGAAUACAUAUCAUAAACAUACAAAUUACACCAUUUAAAAUAUACUUACUACAAAAAGAUCCUGAAUAUUUUUGUUAAUGCAAAUAAAAUUUCUUCACAUUAUUUUAAGAGUCAAAAUAUUUUACAUCAAUUUGUGCUUUUAAAACUAUUGCUAGCUUCCCCUGGGAAAAGCCAAAAUAACUGUAUAUUGUAGAAAAAAGUUUUUGCACUUUUGACCCAAAUACACAUAUCAACACAAGAAGAGGCACAAUAACAUCUAAUAAUUGUUUUACAUUUCCCUGAAACAGACAAACAAAACCUAGUUAUUCAAUGAAAUACAUUUCUAUGGUAAUUGCUAAUUUGAUGUUUUCACACGUGCACAAAAGAACUACUUUUUCUUGGUCACUAACGACAGCAAACCCUAGAUGUCUAGGAAUAUAUAUAUGUGUCAUAUAUAUAUUUACAUACAUACAUAUUUAAGAGAGCAUAUGAAGAAAAUAGGACAGUUUGCACAUACAUAUUCAAAGCCUCUCAGAAAUUCCACUUAGGUCCACAUUAGUGAGCCUUAAUGUAUUGCCAGCGUUCUGUGUAAAUAACCAGAGAAGUAAAACAAACUUUAGUAGUGGAGUCCCUCCUUAUACAUUAAUAGAAAAUCUAGUUAUAAGUGGUAUGAUUCGCUCAUAAGAGGUCAGGCGUUCAAGACCAGUCUGGCCAAUAUGUUGAAAGCUCGUCUUUACUUAACAAAAAAUAUAAAAAUUAGCCAAGAGUGGUGGCACGUUCCUGUAAUCCCAGCUAUUUGGGAGGCUGAGGCACGAGAAUUGCUUGAACCUGGGAGGCAGAGGUUGCAGUGAGCUGAGAUUGCACUACUGUACUCCAGCCUGGGUGACACAUGGUCUCAAAAAAAAAAAAGAAGAAAGAAAGAAAAGAGAAAAAUGCUUAUCACUUAACCAAAUUUUUGCUAAGGAAAUGUAAAUAUAACUGUACCUUCUUCAGGGAAUUCAACGUCAGAGUACACUGGCUUAACUGCAGUGACUCACUCGUUUUUCAAUGCGGAGGUAAUAUUCAUAGAAAAAUCAAUAUUCCAUGUGGAGAAAAUGUAUUUUUCCUGUGGAUGAAUUACUGAUUAAUUGGGUUGGAGUAAACUUUACUUUCUGCAGCUCUAGUAUUUAUUUGUCAAAUGAAGAUCCAAUCUGGCAAUCAUCUCUUACAAAUGGUCCAUCAGAUUGGUCAGAUAGAUUAUUCUAUAGCUCCAAUCCCUCCCAGAUAAAGUCAUUGAUUAUCUGUAUAUACUCAAUUGGGGAAGACCCACAUCACAAGAGGACAGAGUAUGUGAUGUAACAGAAACGAUUCACACCGCUGUUAAUGUGUCAUAGACAGUGGGAUCCCUGGGGAAUUAAAAAUAGGACAAUUCAGCUAGAAUUUUCUCUUUGAUCAACUCCAGUUUCUGAUUGUGCUCUCAAGCUGAGCCCUUUCUAUUUGCAUUACAAUUUCAAUCCUUGGUUGGUGAGAGUUCUUUUUCAAUGUUUGUACUUCAGUUUUGUAGAUAACUGAGGUUGCAGAUAUGGAGUUUAUACUGUCAAAACAAUCAUCAAAUCAUCAAAAUAAUC
RNAcentral lists this long non-coding RNA (1872 nucleotides) under Macaca fascicularis (crab-eating macaque). RNAcentral's name for it is "lncRNA (ENSMFAG00000060264.1)". Lineage: Eukaryota; Metazoa; Chordata; Mammalia; Primates; Cercopithecidae. The record is from RNAcentral.